RNAcentral lists this ribosomal RNA (445 nucleotides) under uncultured bacterium. RNAcentral describes it as "partial 16S ribosomal RNA". It matches the Rfam family "Bacterial small subunit ribosomal RNA", at positions 354 to 796 of the family's 1533-position model. The record is from RNAcentral.
GUAAGGAAUAUUGGUCAAUGGGCGCAAGCCUGAACCAGCCAUGCCGCGUGCAGGAAGACGGCCCUAUGGGUUGUAAACUGCUUUUAUCAGGGAAUAAACCCCCGCUCGUGAGCGGGGCUGAAGGUACCUGAAGAAUAAGCAUCGGCUAACUCCGUGCCAGCAGCCGCGGUAAUACGGAGGAUGCAAGCGUUAUCCGGAUUCAUUGGGUUUAAAGGGUGCGCAGGCGGAUUGGUAAGUCAGGGGUGAAAUCCCACAGCUCAACUGUGGAACUGCCUUUGAUACUGUCAGUCUAGAGUAUAGUUGAAGUUGGCGGAAUGUGUCAUGUAGCGGUGAAAUGCUUAGAUAUGACACAGAACACCGAUCGCGAAGGCAGCUAGCUAAGCUAUAACUGACGCUCAUGCACGAAAGCGUGGGGAUCAAACAGGAUUAGAAACCCCUGUAGUCC